RNAcentral lists this long non-coding RNA (373 nucleotides) under Vigna radiata. RNAcentral describes it as "long non-coding RNA (VRAD_LNC009364)". The record is from RNAcentral. Lineage: Eukaryota; Viridiplantae; Streptophyta; Magnoliopsida; Fabales; Fabaceae.
GGGUGUGAGAUAAAAUGAUUAUGUUUUUAAUUGAUUUGCUUUAUAAACAGAAGUUUCUAUUAGAGUUAAUAAUCUUGGACAGCAAAAGUGGCUUUUUUCUUUUUUUGAAGUGAUCUUGAUCUACUGUGUACAGAAAGUUUUCACAGGUAUUUAGGAUCAUUAUUGUAUCUUCAUAUCUGGCAUGCAUUUUCAACCUAUUACAGAUUCUCUUUUGGGGGAUGAUUAUAUUUCCUUGAAUCUUGGUCGCUGAAAAAAACUGCGCUUAUGUGAUAAAACAUUGAGGCCAAUGAUUCUCAAAACAUGUUUAACUGUUUUGUUCAUUCACUCAUUACGUGUGCAGCCUUUUUCUUGCACGUUUUGACAUCAAAAGAAU